This 480-nucleotide ribosomal RNA is filed under the name uncultured bacterium. Its description in RNAcentral is "bacterial SSU rRNA". It matches the Rfam family "Bacterial small subunit ribosomal RNA", at positions 329 to 802 of the family's 1533-position model. The record is from RNAcentral.
AUCGUAACUCCUACGGGAGGCAGCAGUAGGGAAUUUUCGGCAAUGGGGGAAACCCUGACCGAGCAACGCCGCGUGAGCGAAGAAGGCCUUCGGGUCGUAAAGCUCUGUUGUAAAGGAAGAACGUCGCAUGCAGGAAAUGGUGUGCGAGUGACGGUACUUUACCAGGAAGCCACGGCUAACUACGUGCCAGCAGCCGCGGUAAUACGUAGGUGGCGAGCGUUAUCCGGAAUCAUUGGGCGUAAAGAGGGAGCAGGCGGCCGCAGGGGUCUGUGGUGAAAGACCGAAGCUAAACUUCGGUGAGCCAUGGAAACCGGGCGGCUAGAGUGCGGAAGAGGAUCGUGGAAUUCCAUGUGUAGCGGUGAAAUGCGUAGAUAUAUGGAGGAACACCAGUGGCGAAGGCGACGGUCUGGGCCGCAACUGACGCUCAUUCCCGAAAGCGUGGGGAGCAAAUGGGAUUAGAAACCCUAGUAGUCCUAGAGC